GACGAACGCUGGCGGCGUGCUUAACACAUGCAAGUCGAACGGUAAGGCCCUUCGGGGUACACGAGUGGCGAACGGGUGAGUAACACGUGGGUGAUCUACCCUGCACUUCGGGAUAAGCCUGGGAAACUGGGUCUAAUACCGGAUAGGACCCUGGGAUGCAUGUCCUGGGGUGGAAAGCUUUUGCGGUGUGGGAUGGGCCCGCGGCCUAUCAGCUUGUUGGUGGGGUGAUGGCCUACCAAGGCGACGACGGGUAGCCGGCCUGAGAGGGUGACCGGCCACACUGGGACUGGGAUACGGCCCAGACUCCUACGGGAGGCAGCAGUGGGGAAUAUUGCACAAUGGGCGCAAGCCUGAUGCAGCGACGCCGCGUGAGGGAUGACGGCCUUCGGGUUGUAAACCUCUUUCAGCACCGACGAAGCGCAAGUGACGGUAGGUGCAGAAGAAGGACCGGCCAACUACGUGCCAGCCGCCGCUGUAA
RNAcentral lists this ribosomal RNA (478 nucleotides) under uncultured bacterium. Its description in RNAcentral is "partial 16S ribosomal RNA". It matches the Rfam family "Bacterial small subunit ribosomal RNA", at positions 28 to 523 of the family's 1533-position model. The record is from RNAcentral.